UUGGAUCAGCGGCUCCAAGUAGGAGUCCAUGUCCGUCGAGUCGAGGGCUACUGCUUUGGAGACUACUAUAAGGAGCUUCACCGACAAUUGUGGAGAUUAGGUGAUAAGGCAAAAACUGGGUGCUAGCUUUGAUACGUUCUGAGAGGCUUAUGAUUUAUAUAAUCUUUAAUCUUGGGAAAAUGGCUUUGUAUAACAUAUGGGAAGAACAGAUUAAAUGUCGAGAGGAAGAAAUGCAUGUAGAAAAUUAUUUGAGGUUGCGUGGGGAAGCAGGGUUAGAGAAUACACAAUCAUGCCAGUGUGAAUGCCCUGCAUUGAUCCGAUUGCUUAGGUUAGAGGACAAUGGUUGGUAAAUAGCUAAGCACAGGGAGAAACACAAUCAUUCACUGUCUCCAAAUUGUUGGGUAACAGUUCACUGGCCGUCCCACAAACACAAAGAUGUUGACAACAUAAUUAGGAGAUUUUUUGGUUAAAUGGAAAAAGUCCCCUUUAUUAAGCGAUCGUUGAGAGCAUUGUGCGGGAAUUUGGAUUGUGAACAAGCGGAUGAUGAUGUGAGGAAACCGAUGGAAUUAUCUAACAAGUUGGGUCUUGGGUGCCAGCAAUCCGCAGUUCGCAUAUCGAGUCCAAGCUGAUGGGGAAGACCGAAUAAAAUGUCUGAUGUGGAUGAAUGGUAGCAGCCAUUGGCAACAGGCAUCUGAGCUGUUUACAUGCGAGAUGAACCCUAGAGCUCUUGGCUGGACACAACGGGUAACGAUUGGUGCGGCCGCGUCAAGGAGGACACCUUGUCCUAAUCGCCCAAGUGCAUAGGAGAAGGCAAUUCACGGGUUUGAUAAGAAUCCAAGGGAGAAUGUGAUUGUACUGAAACUGGGGAUAAGCUUUGAUCUUUAGGUGAAGCAUACGACUUCUACAACUUGUACUCCUGGGAGAAGGUGUUUGGUAUUACAUAUUGGAAAAGCAGACUAAAUGUUUAGAGGACAAAAUGCAGGCAGGAAAUCAUUUGCAGCUAUGCGGGAAAGGCUGGUGUUGAGAACAGUAGGUCAUGCCAUUGUGAGUGUCCGGCUCUUAUACGAUUGUUGCGAUCGGAAGGCAAUGGUUGGUGCAUAUCAGAGCAUUGGGAGGAACACAGCCAAUCUUUAUCUCUUAAUUGCGGAGAGACAAUACACUGCCUUCACACAAAGACAUCGACGUUUACAACCGAGACUUGGUGAAGCAGCUACAACAAAAAAAUGUCAAUCUAGCCAAGGUAAUACAACAUCAUAAUUAGUUUUUUGACCAACCAAGCUCUCCAUAAUCCAUAAUUUGUGUGGAAAAUAAGCCAUGAGCUGGCAUAGGAUGAUGUGAGCAAGACUAUGAAGGUUUUCACUGAACUGGGUGCAAAGGAUCCACAUUUCACUUAUCUUGUGCAUGCUGAUAAGGAAGGGCGAAUCAAAAAAAAAUGUGGGCGAAUGGGAGCAGUAGAUUGUAGUAAAUUUUUUGAGGAGAACACAACAAAUUCAAAAUUUUAACACCAAGGGCAGGAGGUUUUCCCAAGUUGUGUAUAAGCAGGAGUUGAGGGGCAGACUUGGUUUCAGUCAUCCAGGUGAAGGUGUAGUUGGAGUAAGAUCAAGUUUCAGUGGGAGGGGAAAUAGAGUGAAUGGCUUCGACCAAGUUAUCUGGUGCCUUCUCUGCCUUCAGAGUAUACUCGACUGAUUAUAGAUGAUUCUAAUGAACAGCUGUAAGUUCAGAGCAUUAGCUCGGUUCAUGUGUAUUGUAUUGAUAUUUUGUAACCUGAAAGUGACGUGACGGUGUUGGAAGCGGACGCGUCAGAAUCAUUUGUG
Non-coding RNA from Triticum urartu, 1814 nucleotides. NCBI's taxonomy places the organism in Eukaryota, Viridiplantae, Streptophyta, Magnoliopsida, Poales, Poaceae. The record is from RefSeq and is a predicted model, not a curated record.